AUAUAGCGGAUAGAUGAGGAUUGGGUCGAGACAUUGAAUCCUAUGGUGCUAAGAUAAGAGAUGGACUCGAUGGUUGAUAAAGACAUAACGAGUGGCAUAUAAAUAACAAUGACAACAGAACGAGUGGCAUAAAACUUAGUGCAAAGUGACACUUGACAUGUGAACUUAGGGAUAGGCGGAUUCCCUAGAGAUGAGUCAUUGAACAAGAACCUAGUGUAGUUAAACACUUGCAUAUGGAUAUUGGGAUAG
This 249-nucleotide long non-coding RNA is filed under the name Ananas comosus (pineapple). RNAcentral describes it as "long non-coding RNA (ACOM_LNC036119)". Lineage: Eukaryota; Viridiplantae; Streptophyta; Magnoliopsida; Poales; Bromeliaceae. The record is from RNAcentral.